This is a long non-coding RNA of Etheostoma spectabile (orangethroat darter), 180 nucleotides long. RefSeq lists it as uncharacterized. The record is from RefSeq and is a predicted model, not a curated record. Lineage: Eukaryota; Metazoa; Chordata; Actinopteri; Perciformes; Percidae. The transcript has 3 exons.
AUGAAAGGGAAAAAUACCAGGAAUUUGAAAGUGCAUUUGAGAAGCGCGCACCAGAAGGUUAACCUAGCUUACCUUAACAAGGUAAAGGAGAAGGCAAAGCCCCCUUUCCCCGAAACAGAAACUAACCCCGGUACAGGGCAUGGAUGUAUAGGUACAGGGCCAGGCAGCAUGACGGGGACA